Molecule: ribosomal RNA, 307 nt
Filed under: uncultured bacterium
Lineage: Bacteria
Description: bacterial SSU rRNA
Rfam family: Bacterial small subunit ribosomal RNA
Source: RNAcentral
GACGAACGCUGGCGGCGUGCUUAACACAUGCAAGUCGAACGAUGACGGAGGAGCUUGCUCCUCCUGAUUAGUGGCGAACGGGUGAGUAAUACGUGAGCAAUGUGCCCUUGACUCUGGGAUAAGCGCUGGAAACGGCGUCUAAUACCGGAUACGACGAUCGGAGGCAUCUCCUGGUCGUGGAAAGACUUCGGUCAAGGAUCAGCUCACGGCCUAUCAGUUAGUUGGUGAGGUAAUGGCUCACCAAGACGACGACGGGUAGCCGGCCUGAGAGGGUGACCGGCCACACUGGGACUGAGACACGGCCCAG